This 284-nucleotide long non-coding RNA is filed under the name Nicotiana benthamiana. RNAcentral describes it as "long non-coding RNA (NBEN_LNC041183)". The record is from RNAcentral. Lineage: Eukaryota; Viridiplantae; Streptophyta; Magnoliopsida; Solanales; Solanaceae.
UGAAAUCGCACAAACGGGCCACCAUGAUAUGCAGAAGGCUGGUAUACACCUCAAAUGACCAUAUGAGAUCAUGGAUUAGGUGGGGAUUGAAGUGGAUUAGGGUAGAAUUAGGUGGCGAUGGCUAGGGUUCAUAUGAGGUUGCAGAGAGAAUUAGGAGAGGAAAGGGAUUCAAAGGCAAUGGGUGGUGGGAAAUGAUUUAGGUUUAGGGGUCUUUCGGGGUUAAAAAGGGAAAGGGUGAAUGAUGGUCAUUGAUCUGAAUGAUUAAUGGCUUGAAUUAAAGAGGG